Molecule: ribosomal RNA, 494 nt
Filed under: uncultured bacterium
Lineage: Bacteria
Description: partial 16S ribosomal RNA
Rfam family: Bacterial small subunit ribosomal RNA
Source: RNAcentral
CUUUCCCUCUGUCGGCAUGCUUUACACAUGCAAGUCGAACGGCAGCGGGGAGGAGCUUGCUUCUCUGCCGGCGAGUGGCGAACGGGUGAGUAAUACAUCGGAACGUGUCGAGAAGAGGGGGAUAACCACCCGAAAGGGUGGCUAAUACCGCAUAAAUUCUGAGGAAGAAAGCUGGGGACCUAGGAAUAGGCCUAGCGCUUUUUGAGCGGCCGAUGUCGGAUUAGCUAGUUGGUGAGGUAAAGGCUCACCAAGGCGAAGAUCUGUAGCGGGUCUGAGAGGAUGAUCCGCCACACUGGGACUGAGACACGGCCCAGACUCCUACGGGAGGCAGCAGUGGGGAAUUUUGGACAAUGGGGGCAACCCUGAUCCAGCCAUGCCGCGUGUAUGAAGAAGGCCUUAGGGUUGUAAAGUACUUUUGUUAGGGAAGAAAAGUCAGCUGUGAAUAAUGGCUGAUACUGACGGUACCUAAAGAAUAAGCACCGGCUAACUACGUG